CACCGAGAAGCUACGCUCAAGCGCCAGCCCUUUAAGCUGAAGAGGGGAGUAACUUUCCCUCGGUGA
This 66-nucleotide transfer RNA is filed under the name Rena humilis (western threadsnake). Its description in RNAcentral is "Lys-tRNA". The record is from RNAcentral. Lineage: Eukaryota; Metazoa; Chordata; Lepidosauria; Squamata; Leptotyphlopidae.